This 465-nucleotide ribosomal RNA is filed under the name uncultured bacterium. RNAcentral describes it as "partial 16S ribosomal RNA". It matches the Rfam family "Bacterial small subunit ribosomal RNA", at positions 338 to 795 of the family's 1533-position model. The record is from RNAcentral.
CCUACGGGAGGCAGCAGUGGGGAAUAUUGCGCAAUGGGCGAAAGCCUGACGCAGCGACGCCGCGUGAGGGAUGAAGGUCUUCGGAUCGUAAACCUCUGUCAGCAGGGAAGAACGGUCACUGUGCUAAUCAGCAGUGAAUUGACGGUACCUGCAAAGGAAGCACCGGCUAACUCAGUGCCAGCAGCCGCGGUAAUAAGGAGGGUGCGGGCGUUAAUCGGAAUUACUGGGGGUAAAGCGCUCGUAGGCGGUAUGUCAAGUCAUGGGGGAAAUGCCCGCGGUCAACGUGGGAACUGCGUUUGAAACUGGCAAACUUGAGUGUGUGAGAGGAUAGUGGAAUUCCAGGUGUAGGAGUGAAAUGCGUAGAUAUCUGGAGGAACAUCAGUGGCGAAGGCGACUAUCUGGCACAUAACUGACGCUGAGGAGCGAAAGCGUGGGUAGCAAACAGGAUUAGAUACCCGAGUAGUC